CAACUCUCCGCGACCACUGAAAUCCACACGGAAAAGUGCCAUUAUGGAGUCAAUGAUCUGCAUUGUAAUCAUGCUGGAUGGUGUGUUUCAUUGGUUUAUCUAAGACAGCCUAUUAACUUCCUCUCCUUAUGGCAAAACCUUAAUGGAUGUGGGCAGUAUCAAAAAGUAACAAUUUGUAUGAAUUCUCUACUCAAACACGGUUUAUGGAGGUAAGAGUCACCAAGGUCUGUUUAACUGUAUUCGUAAAAAUAAAAGAUUCUGACUUUU
Molecule: non-coding RNA, 267 nt
Organism: Zonotrichia albicollis (white-throated sparrow)
Lineage: Eukaryota; Metazoa; Chordata; Aves; Passeriformes; Passerellidae
Source: RefSeq, a predicted model, not a curated record